ACGGGAGCCAAUAAAUCUGGUGGUGAAGAAGAAACCAGUUCUUCCUUAACGUCGCCAGGAGGGAGGGAGGGAGAGAGAGAGAGAGAGAGAGAGAGGUUUCUUUCAUGUUCCCACUCAAUUUUUGGCAAAUUUUCAUCUCAGGAGGGUUGAUUUGUGCUGGCGAAGAAGAAGAAGAAGAAGGGCAGGAAUGGCCAUGGCGUCCUCUCAGCUCCUCAUUCACAAUUUCUUAAUCACCAUCGCAUUUGGCAUUCUCCUAUUAUUUCCUAUAUCAAUUGUGUCUGCCGAUGACCCUAAAUCUCCUGCCUGCAACAAGUUACAGCGAUUGGU
Non-coding RNA from Camellia sinensis, 327 nucleotides. Lineage: Eukaryota; Viridiplantae; Streptophyta; Magnoliopsida; Ericales; Theaceae. The record is from RefSeq and is a predicted model, not a curated record.